GAUAAAAUUGCUGAAAUAAAAUGAGCGAUAAAUUGUAAAUUUAUUYAUGARUUUAUAGAUUCUUUUAUCA
This 70-nucleotide transfer RNA is filed under the name Corynis lateralis. RNAcentral describes it as "tRNA-Tyr". The record is from RNAcentral. Lineage: Eukaryota; Metazoa; Arthropoda; Insecta; Hymenoptera; Cimbicidae.